GCUGGGUGCAGUGGUGUGCACCUGUAGUCCUAGCUACUUGGGAGGCUGAGGCAGGAGGAUCACUUGAGCUCGGGAGUAUGAGUCCAGCCUGGGCAACACAGCAAGACCCUGCCUCUA
Molecule: non-coding RNA, 117 nt
Filed under: Chlorocebus sabaeus (green monkey)
Lineage: Eukaryota; Metazoa; Chordata; Mammalia; Primates; Cercopithecidae
Source: Rfam by way of RNAcentral